UACAGAGGGUGCGAGCGUUAAUCGGAGUUACUGGGCGUAAAGCGUGCGCAGGCGGUUCGCCAAGUCAGGUGUGAAAUCCCCGGGCUUAACCUGGGAAUUGCGCUUGAAACUAGCGGGCUUGAGUGUGGCAGAGGGGGGUGGAAUUCCACGUGUAGCAGUGAAAUGCGUAGAGAUGUGGAGGAACACCGAUGGCGAAGGCAGCCCCCUGGGUCAACACUGACGCUCAUGCACGAAAGCGUGGGGAGCAAACAGG
This 253-nucleotide ribosomal RNA is filed under the name uncultured bacterium. RNAcentral describes it as "partial 16S ribosomal RNA". It matches the Rfam family "Bacterial small subunit ribosomal RNA", at positions 524 to 776 of the family's 1533-position model. The record is from RNAcentral.